Molecule: small nucleolar RNA, 133 nt
Organism: Amblyraja radiata (thorny skate)
Lineage: Eukaryota; Metazoa; Chordata; Chondrichthyes; Rajiformes; Rajidae
Product: small nucleolar RNA SNORA72
Exons: 1
Source: RefSeq, a predicted model, not a curated record
AUGCGAAUAUUCUCGCUGGCUUGAUUUUAAUUUCUAGUCAAGUCAGGCUAGUAAUUCGCUAGAUUAACGCUGUGCUUAUUGUCAACGGGACUAGUUUUACGAAGUUCUGUUGUAAUAUUUGCCCGCAACAACU